Long non-coding RNA from Podarcis muralis (Common wall lizard), 298 nucleotides. RefSeq lists it as uncharacterized. The record is from RefSeq and is a predicted model, not a curated record. NCBI's taxonomy places the organism in Eukaryota, Metazoa, Chordata, Lepidosauria, Squamata, Lacertidae.
UGAGGGCUGGCGGCUUGUUCGAUUGCGGAGGGGUUUGCUGCGCUGCAAGGCGAUAGGAGCAAUAGCUAUGUCGGCACCUCAACGCUAGGCCCAAUCAUGGAGACAAGUGAAAGAGAGCUGCUGAAAUCCACAGCCCAAGAAGGAAGGUGGUGUCUGUCACAUCCCUUUGUUGCAGCAGGAAUUACGGAGCAAAACUUGCAAAAUCUAUAACUCACUACAGUGGAGAAGGGGAAGCUACUAACAUGAGUUUAACCAAAUUGCGGGAGGCAAUGGAAGACAGGAGUGCCUGGUGUGCUCU